UACGGGGGGGGGCAAGCGUUUGUUCGGAAUUACUGGGCGUAAAGGGCUCGUAGGCGGCCAACUAAGUCGGAUGUGAAAUCCCCAGGCUCAACUUGGGGAACUGCAUCCGAUACUGGAUGGCUUGAAUUCGGGAGAGGGAUGCAGAAUUCCAGGUGUAGCGGUGAAAUGCGUAGAUAUCUGGAGGAAUACCGGUGGCGAAGGCGGCAUCCUGGACCGACAUUGACGCUGAGGAGCGAAAAGCUAGGGGGAGCAAAACGGGG
RNAcentral lists this ribosomal RNA (260 nucleotides) under uncultured bacterium. RNAcentral describes it as "partial 16S ribosomal RNA". It matches the Rfam family "Bacterial small subunit ribosomal RNA", at positions 524 to 778 of the family's 1533-position model. The record is from RNAcentral.